ACCUGAUCAUCAGAUUUCAGAACUCCGACAAUGCUCUUUCCAGCUGCGCAGAUGCCUGUGGCUGCUGCUGCUGCUGUUGCAUGGCCUGCACCACUUCGGUGAGGCCCCUGAUCUGCUGAACCAGCAAGUCGAACUGCUCCAUGCCGACUGCCAUUGUUGGAGGAGGAGGAUCCUGAGAAACUGGAGAUGAGGCUAGAGCUGGUGGAUCUCGCUGAGAUCUAGCCAUGGAGGCCGUAGAUCGCCUGGUGGAAGCC
RNAcentral lists this long non-coding RNA (254 nucleotides) under Elaeis guineensis (African oil palm). Its description in RNAcentral is "long non-coding RNA (EGUI_LNC059615)". The record is from RNAcentral. Lineage: Eukaryota; Viridiplantae; Streptophyta; Magnoliopsida; Arecales; Arecaceae.